This 388-nucleotide ribosomal RNA is filed under the name uncultured bacterium. RNAcentral's name for it is "bacterial SSU rRNA". It matches the Rfam family "Bacterial small subunit ribosomal RNA", at positions 30 to 414 of the family's 1533-position model. The record is from RNAcentral.
AUUAAACGCUGGCGGCAUGCCUUACACAUGCAAGUCGAACGGCAGCACGGGGUGGUAACACUCUGGUGGCGAGUGGCGGACGGGUGAGUAAAGCAUCGGAACGUGCCCUGGAAUGGGGGAUAACGUAGCGAAAGUUACGCUAAUACCGCAUAUUCUGUGCGCAGGAAAGCAGGGGCUCGCAAGACCUUGCGUUCUGGGAUCGGCCGAUGUCGGAUUAGCUAGUUGGUGGGGUAAAGGCCUACCAAGGCGACGAUCCGUAGCGGGUCUGAGAGGAUGAUCCGCCACACUGGGACUGAGACACGGCCCAGACUCCUACGGGAGGCAGCAGUGGGGAAUUUUGGACAAUGGGCGCAAGCCUGAUCCAGCCAUGCCGCGUGAGUGAAGAAGG